RNAcentral lists this transfer RNA (87 nucleotides) under Klebsiella pneumoniae. RNAcentral's name for it is "tRNA-Leu". It matches the Rfam family "tRNA". From Rfam's summary of the family: Transfer RNA (tRNA) molecules are approximately 80 nucleotides in length. The record is from RNAcentral. Lineage: Bacteria; Pseudomonadati; Pseudomonadota; Gammaproteobacteria; Enterobacterales; Enterobacteriaceae.
GCCCGGAUGGUGGAAUCGGUAGCCACAAGGGAUUUAAAAUCCCUCGGCGUUCGCGCUGUGCGGGUUCAAGUCCCGCUCCGGGUACCA